Molecule: long non-coding RNA, 611 nt
Filed under: Lonchura striata (white-rumped munia)
Lineage: Eukaryota; Metazoa; Chordata; Aves; Passeriformes; Estrildidae
Description: domestica (Bengalese finch) lncRNA (ENSLSDG00000004517.1)
Source: RNAcentral
UUUGUCAUGAUGGAGGCUGGUACAUCCUUUCUCCUGGAUGAAGUUUGUUGCAAAGCCAAGCUUGAUUAAGAAGCACUUGGAGAAGAGACAUAGAAAAGCUGCAGUCAUGCUAUCAGUCUGUUUUAAGGCCAGUUGGAAUGAAGUCAUGCAAUGGAUUCAGUUUGGCUGGGUGAAAAAAACAUCCCAUAUUUGCAUUGUUAUAGUCCUUCAUCAUUCACAUUUGAUCUAUCUGGCAUUUGAUACAAGAUACAGGCACGGACAAUUUGCCUCAAACUGCUACAAUGUUUACAGAAGAGAGAUCAUCCAAGAUAGAGCUAAGAAAAUGUUAUCUUGAAUUUCCAGACUUCUGGAAACCUGUUCUGAGAAGUGUCAGUCUUCCCUAGCUCUCCCCUAACCCCCCCCUCAUCUCCAAGUGGUCAAUCCUCCCUUUCCCUGCCCCUUUCCCUGGAACAUUCCCUGUCAUGUUAGUUCUGCCCUAAACUCCUCCCCUGCUAUUCCCUUAGUGGUUACUGUUCCUACACCCCUCCUCCUGAGUUCUGUAUAAAACCUCUGCUCCCGCCCCCGAGGGGGUCUUGGGGCUCAGUGAAUAAAACCAUCCUGUUCACCCCCCA